UACGUAGGGGGCAAGCGUUGUCCGGAUUUAUUGGGCGUAAAGAGCGUGUAGGCGGCCAGACGGGUCCGUUGUGAAAACUCGAGGCUCAACCUCGAGAUGUCGAUGGAAACCGUCUGGCUAGAGUCCGGAAGAGGAGUGUGGAAUUCCUGGUGUAGCGGUGAAAUGCGCAGAUAUCAGGAAGAACACCUAUGGCGAAGGCAGCACUCUGGGACGGUACUGACGCUGAGACGCGAAAGCGUGGGGAGCGAACAGG
This 253-nucleotide ribosomal RNA is filed under the name uncultured bacterium. RNAcentral describes it as "partial 16S ribosomal RNA". It matches the Rfam family "Bacterial small subunit ribosomal RNA", at positions 524 to 776 of the family's 1533-position model. The record is from RNAcentral.